Molecule: long non-coding RNA, 260 nt
Organism: Harpia harpyja (harpy eagle)
Lineage: Eukaryota; Metazoa; Chordata; Aves; Accipitriformes; Accipitridae
Exons: 3
Source: RefSeq, a predicted model, not a curated record
CACUGUCUGAGGAAGCGCAGAAAAAGGCAACAUGGUGAAAGCAGCAGGCUUGGGAAAAGACCUGUGAAACAGCACUAUGUUACUGAUAUCUGCUGCAAAGAAUACAGAAACUUGGACUCCAACAAAGAAGUUAAUUCUUAACUUUUCCUCAGUUUUAAUCACUAUCAGGAACAGAGUAUCACACUGUAUUUCAUGAAGGUUACUGAGGAUGUUCCUUAAAAGUGAAGAAUAAGAAGAGAAACAACAUGCCAACACCUCCU